Molecule: ribosomal RNA, 495 nt
Filed under: uncultured bacterium
Lineage: Bacteria
Description: bacterial SSU rRNA
Rfam family: Bacterial small subunit ribosomal RNA
Source: RNAcentral
AGCGAACGUUUGCGGCGGGCCUAACACAUGCAAGUCGAACGCACUAGCAAUAGUGAGUGGCGCACGGGUGCGUAACACGUGGGUAAUCAACCCUUCAGCUUGGGAUAACGACUUGAAAGGGUCGCUAAUACCGGAUACGGCGCGGGAGGCUUCGGCUUCUCACGAGAAAGCCUCGCAAGGGGCACUGAAGGACGAGCCUGCGGCCCAUCAGCUAGUUGGUGAGGUAAGAGCUCACCAAGGCGAAGACGGGUAGCUGGUCUGAGAGGAUGAUCAGCCACACUGGAACUGAGACACGGUCCAGACUCCUACGGGAGGCAGCAGUGGGGAAUAUUGCGCAAUGGGCGAAAGCCUGACGCAGCCACGCCGCGUGAGCGAUGAAGGCCUCGGUCGUAAGACUCUGUGGGGAGGAGACGAAGAAAGACCCGUGAAGAGCGGGCCGUUGACGGUAGUCUCCUUAGCAAGCACCGGCUAACUACGUGCCAGCAGCCGCGGUAA